RNAcentral lists this ribosomal RNA (910 nucleotides) under Enterococcus casseliflavus. Its description in RNAcentral is "bacterial SSU rRNA". It matches the Rfam family "Bacterial small subunit ribosomal RNA", at positions 60 to 938 of the family's 1533-position model. The record is from RNAcentral. Lineage: Bacteria; Bacillati; Bacillota; Bacilli; Lactobacillales; Enterococcaceae.
AGUCGAACGCUUUUUUCUUUCACCGGGAGCUUGCUCCACCGAAAGAAAAAGAGUGGCGAACGGGUGAGUAACACGUGGGUAACCUGCCCAUCAGAAGGGGAUAACACUUGGAAACAGGUGCUAAUACCGUAUAACACUAUUUUCCGCAUGGAAGAAAGUUGAAAGGCGCUUUUGCGUCACUGAUGGAUGGACCCGCGGUGCAUUAGCUAGUUGGUGAGGUAACGGCUCACCAAGGCAACGAUGCAUAGCCGACCUGAGAGGGUGAUCGGCCACACUGGGACUGAGACACGGCCCAGACUCCUACGGGAGGCAGCAGUAGGGAAUCUUCGGCAAUGGACGAAANUCUGACCGAGCAACGCCGCGUGAGUGAAGAAGGUUUUCGGAUCGUAAAACUCUGUUGUUAGAGAAGAACAAGGAUGAGAGUAAAAUGUUCAUCCCUUGACGGUAUCUAACCAGAAAGCCACGGCUAACUACGUGCCAGCAGCCGCGGUAAUACGUAGGUGGCAAGCGUUGUCCGGAUUUAUUGGGCGUAAAGCGAGCGCAGGCGGUUUCUUAAGUCUGAUGUGAAAGCCCCCGGCUCAACCGGGGAGGGUCAUUGGAAACUGGGAGACUUGAGUGCAGAAGAGGAGAGUGGAAUUCCAUGUGUAGCGGUGAAAUGCGUAGAUAUAUGGAGGAACACCAGUGGCGAAGGCGGCUCUCUGGUCUGUAACUGACGCUGAGGCUCNGAAGCGUGGGGAGCGAACAGGAUUAGAUACCCUGGUAGUCCACGCCGUAAACGAUGAGUGCUAAGUGUUGGAGGGUUUCCGCCCUUCAGUGCUGCAGCAAACGCAUUAAGCAUUCCGCCUGGGGAGUACNACCGCAAGGUUGAAAUUCAAAGGAAUUGACGGGGGCCNNGCACAAGCGGUGGAGC